Molecule: long non-coding RNA, 219 nt
Organism: Drosophila yakuba
Lineage: Eukaryota; Metazoa; Arthropoda; Insecta; Diptera; Drosophilidae
Exons: 2
Source: RefSeq, a predicted model, not a curated record
CAGCUGCAAGUGGCGCAACACGUGUGUCUCCAUGUAGCAACAGUUGCCAGCGAGCGGAUAACCUUGAUGUUUGAUUUUUGGCCUCCAGGCAGCUGGACAAGGCCAAAGGCCAAAAAGUGGCAUUGUUUAUGCAGGAAUUUGCCGUCCUGUGUGGUGGAGAUAAUAAAACUGGGAGCCUUAAUUAGCCCACAAGGAAGGGCGACCUUUAUGACAAUUGUA